Long non-coding RNA from Sebastes umbrosus (honeycomb rockfish), 558 nucleotides. RefSeq lists it as uncharacterized. The transcript has 4 exons. The record is from RefSeq and is a predicted model, not a curated record. NCBI's taxonomy places the organism in Eukaryota, Metazoa, Chordata, Actinopteri, Perciformes, Sebastidae.
GACUGGUACAGUUGUUUUGAGUUUUGAAUUGCCGUACCUCCCCACCAAAGCACUUGGUUUCCUGCAGCGGCUUGAGAGGAGGGCAGUAUUGCUGAGUAUCCAUGGCUGCUCCGUAGCCAUCGUGUGCUUCUUUAACCUCAGAGAUGACAGAGGACGAACCGAGUGCUUGAAAGGCGGGACAGAAAACCUUCGUUGGAGACGUGCUGCAGACUGACGGUGAACACAGGAUGACACAGCAGACAGAGAGUGGAGAUGACAACUAAAACACUGGCGGCGUCUGGAGUCCCAGGGCUAGUUGGCAUGGUGACGCUGAUGGAAUGGCCGUUGCUAGGAGAUGAAGAGAGCGGCCAGAAAGAGCAUCGUCACGGUGAGGAGAAGGCGAUCCCUGGAUGGGCUGCUUCCGCUGACGCUCUUCUCCAGCUUGGGAACAAAAGGGUUAUAAUCAUCUGGAAAAAAAACAAAAAAAACGAGAGAAAGAAUUAAUUUUAUAUCUAUUCAUUACAAAUACCAGCAGAGGAUGAAAAACUCAAAAGGAAAAUAAAGAAAAAAGACAAGUGU